AUAGAUGGAACUUCUCCGAUGCAGGGAUCUCAAUGGUCACCGGAUCCCCCAGAAUGUUGCUUAGACACUGCAGCCAAUGAAUAGGUCUCUACACUACAUGGUUACACUGUUUACAGUUGAUCUUUUUGUCCUUCUGAUGGUUGCAAGCAUCUUGAAUCCACAAGACUCUUGCUUCUUUAGUCCAAAGCCAUCCUUUUGCUAUGUAAUACGCCCUCAAUUGUUCAAUGACUAUAAUAACAGAGACCCCGCCUCUAAGC
RNAcentral lists this long non-coding RNA (257 nucleotides) under Elaeis guineensis (African oil palm). RNAcentral's name for it is "long non-coding RNA (EGUI_LNC010432)". The record is from RNAcentral. Lineage: Eukaryota; Viridiplantae; Streptophyta; Magnoliopsida; Arecales; Arecaceae.